Molecule: long non-coding RNA, 6411 nt
Filed under: Stegodyphus dumicola
Lineage: Eukaryota; Metazoa; Arthropoda; Arachnida; Araneae; Eresidae
Description: uncharacterized LOC118187750
Source: RNAcentral
UCGAGAUACCAUAGCGAGCAGCUUGCUAGACGUCAGAGAAGUGGCCCUAAGGACAAGCACCCGUAGUUGCUUUAAUGAUAGCAGGAGGGGGUCGGUUUGAACGCCUAGCAGGAGGGUAUAUAAAAAUGUGAUUGAUGCUCGGUUAAUUUGCUUCGCAAAGCUUAUUAUGGCAAAUAAAGAGCAGUAAGAUGUGAAGUCUCAGUUGCCACCUCUCUGGUUUCGACCCGGAGACUCCAGUUUCAGUGCAAAAUUACGGAAUCCGGUUUUAUGAAUUGAAUCUUCUGGUUCAAUAAGAACAUUCUGGUACAUGAAUUUCGCCACAUAAUCAUUCAGAGAAUCGGAAAAGAGAUGCGCUUGUUCUCCAAUUAUUUGAUACCUUCAUUGAAGAUAUUCCUCUCCUAAGAAGUUUGGAGAGGCUAAGAUACUUCUGGCGGUCCAUUCCGGACCCUUUCAUCACACCUAAUGAACUGCGAUGUGUGAUGCAAAGGCUCAUCGAUUCCAACGAUGGUGAACUGGAAGAAAUUUGUAAAGAUUUUCAAAAGAACUAUUUUUCUGUUUUGUACGGGACAAAACCAAGCGAAGAGACCAAACCAAGAAGCCUGAGGCAUUAUUGCCGCUGCAGCAUCCGUGAAAGACUGCGUCUUAAUUCCAAGCUCCCAGAUGGAAUCACCAGCUUAGGCUUGCCUUCUGUGGAGCAAUCUUAUUUAAAAUUAUCAUAUUAAUUUUUUAUAUAUGUAAGCACGCCAUGCCUGGAUAUUUUUUCAGCUGAAGCAAAGAAUUAAAUUCGUGCCCUGGUGUAGAAUCAAAUGAGGUAUAUAUGUACACUUUCAUAUUAUAACUCUUAUAAUACUUUUAUUUGUAGAAGGAGUGAUACAAGUAUAAUUUGCAAAUUUUGUAAAAAAUUUGUAAAAAAAUGUUAAAACAAGCGCAUUUUUGAUAAUUAAGGAAUAAUCUUGAAACAUUGUGAAUAAUAACAUUGGUAUUUUAUAUCGAAAAUCUUGAACUAAUUUUUAAAUAUUUUUUAAAAUUUAACUUUUCUUACUUUCAACGAAAUAAAAUCGCUGGUAAUUUUUUUUUCAAAAUUUACUUCUUAAAUUGAUUACUUGAUUCCUGUUCUCUAGUGAAAAUAGCAUUUUUUGAAAACUGUUCUUCACCAAGUGAGGUUCUCAUAUUAUUAUUAUUAUUAUUAUUUUAAGUUUGCUAUGGCUUCUUUCACUUCUUACAACAGUAACUGGCAACAUUAAAGUAUUCUUAGUAUCAUCUUUCGGAUAAGCUUGAAGUAAACUGCGUUUCUAAGUUAUAUUUGAAAGGUCUAAACUUUUAAAAGUCUAAAUCUUUGAAAGGUCUAAAUCUAAGUUUCAUCAGACAACAAACUGAAAAUUAAACUUGUAGGUGAUUUAAUUUCUAGAAUUUUCGAAAUCGCAUGAUUUUCAAAACUAGAUAUGUGCGAUUCAUAUUCUGCAAUAUUUAUAUCAUUUGGGCAUAUGUUUUUUUAAUAAAUUCUCCAAAUCUAAUAACAUUAAUUAUCAGUCUCCCUAAUCAGAAACUGAAAAUCGGAAGAUAUCUUUUUUAUAUAUCUUUAUUUAAGUUGUCACGUUGAUCAUCUCCUUUAUUUUUACAAAGAAAAAAAAAAUAUUUUUCUGAAAAAUUGGUAAUAUUAUCAAUUGGUUUAACAUAAUAUCCUUCAUUAACCUUUCCUUUUUUCAUGUCUGUUCAAAUUCUAUUGAUAUAUCCAUUUUUAAAGUUAAAUUUCCACAUCUCUCAACAAUAUUUUGGCAAAUAUUUUUCCUAUAUAGUGUAAAUAAAGAUAUAAUACAUAGAUAGCUUCCGAUUUCAGUAACUUUUAACUAAAGAAAUGUCAGUGGGUUUAUGUAUUGCUUAAAAGGAGCAGAUUCUGACUUAGAACUUAAACAUAAUACAAAUGAUAUAAACGUUUCAAAAUGUUUCGUCAGAACUAUUUAGUUGUAAAACGCUACUUUAAUGAUUCUGGUUGUUAAAGCAUGAUCGGCUACUUUAAGUAUGAUUCAGUAAUCCAUUUAGUUCAGUCAUUUCUGAGUUAGAAAACUUCAAGGAUAUUCUUAAUGUUGCCUAUUAUUAUUGUUAGGGUGAAAGAAACUUCUUAAAGCUUAAAAUUUUAAAAACAAUUCUAGAACGUCUUCUCCUGUUUAAGAAAAAUUUUAAAUAUGGUAAUUUUCUCUCACAUCCGUAAAAUAAUAGAGCCGACAUCAGUUAAAUAAUCAGGUAGAUUAAAAAAAAUGUAUUAUCUUGGUUUCUUCGUUGAAAGAGGAAAAAAUUAAAUUUCAAACAAUCUUGAAGUACAAGUACAGUACUUUCGUAUUAAUUUCAUUAUUAUUUAUAUUAUUUCAAUAUUAUUUGCUAUUUAUCAACAUACAUUUAAAAAUUAUAUAUCAUUACAUGUAUUAUGAUUUUGAACGUAUAAAGCUACGAUUAAAAAUAUUGUAACUGUUAACGUUAUCAUUGCUGAUUCUAAAAGUUUAUAGGUAUAGUUAAAGUCAUAUUUUACAGAGUUGUGGCUACAUUUAUCCAGGCUUACAGAAAUUCUACAACCAUAAGUAGCUAUAUUUAUCCUGGUGUAAAAUAAUUUUCCUGUCAGUGCAGCAGUGAUAAAUACAAUAAAUUGUAAUGUAGUAAUAUAAUGUUGAAAAUAGGUUGUAAUGCAUUUGCGAUCUUUUAAAAUGCAUCGACGUUUUUAAGUCUCUUAUUGCAUUUGACAUCCAAAAGACUUAAGUGUGUUAUGUCAAGUAUUUUUAAGUACUGUGCCAAGCUACGCUUCAGUGUAUUUUAAGUAGCUUAACAACAGAAUAUAAGAUCUGUUACCGUAUUUAAUUUUUUUUUAAUUGUAUACAUGCAGUACUAUAAUUUGUGUAAAUGUGUGGAAAAUAUUUUAUAAAUGUCAUUGAUUUGUCGCUAUAACUGCCUAUAUAUUUCCUCGUGUAAGGGAAUUCUGAUGUUAGUAUAGCAGUGUUUAAUAUAAUGUACUGUAAUGUAAUAAUAUUAUGUUGAAAAUGUGUUGUGACGUCUAUAUGCUAUGUUAAGAUAGUAACCAGGUUAUAUGUCUGUUAUUGCAUUGACGCUUAAGUGUUGCGAGUGUUUUUACGUUAUGUACCAAGUUAUGUUUUAGUGCAUUUUAAGUAGCUUAAUAGCAAAAGAUAUAAAUAUUGCUAUAUUUUAUAAAUUUGAUUAAUUCCCUGAGAUCCGUACUAUUAAUUGUAUAAGUGUAUGGAAACAAUUUUGUAAACAUCAUUAUACUAUAAGCAUAAGUACUCAUAUUUAUACCGGUAUAAGAUAAUCGUCCUUUAAGUGUAUAGCACUAAUUAAUAUAAUAUAUUGUUAUAUUAAUUAAUAUAAUAUGUUAUUGAUUAAUAUAAUUAGUAUUAAUAUAAUUGAUUAAUAUAAUAUGUAGUUGAAAAUGUGUUUUAAUGUGUAGUUAAAUGAUUAUAUAUGUUAUAAUAUGUAGUUAAAUGAUUUUUUGUAUGCCGCAUUAAGAAUGUAUUUAAGCUUUAAAUUUGUUAUUACAUUGCUUUCGAACAGCGGUGAGUGCGUUAUAUCUGGUGUUUUUACAUAAUGUGCAAGCUAUGCUUCAGUGUAUUUUAAAUAUCUUAACAGCAGAAUUUAUGAACUCUUCCUGUGUUUUAAAAUUUGUAUUAACCGUAUAAAUUCAGUGUUAUUAAUUGCAUGAGUAUAUGGAAACUAUUUUAGAAGCGCCAUUGUUUUGUAACCGUGAACGUCCAUAUUUAUCCUCAUAUAACGCAAUUUUCUUGUUAGCGCAGCAGUGUUGAAUACGACUUAAUACAGUAUGAUAAUAUAACGCUGAAAAUGAGUUGUAACAUGUCUAUGCUAUGUUAAGAAUGCUUCUAGGUUUUUUUAGUCUGUUAUUGCAUUGCCUUGGAAUAGACUGAAGUAUGUUCAGUUGUUUUUACGUAACGUAACAUGCCAAGAUCUAUGAAUUGCUAAUGUAUUUUAUAAAUUUUAUUAAUUGUAUAUGUUCACUAUUAUUAAUUGUAUAAACGUAUGGAAACUGUUUUAUUAACAUCAUUGUUCGUGAAUAUCAUUGUUCAUAACCACAGAUGGCUACAUUUAUAUUGGUACAAGGUUAUUCUCAUGCUAAUGCAGCGACGUUUUAUGUAAUGCAUUGUAAUAUAAAAACAUAAUGUUAAAACAUUUUGUUACGCAGUUGUGUGAAGCCGAACAUGCAGGCAUCCCGUUCGCCUUGGAUCGAAACUGGGUUGAAUUCCCAAUAUAGAUCGGGGUUAACCAGUCGAACCGGUGCGGCUUACUUAGAAAAAAAAAAAAAAAAAAAAAAAAACUUAUCUCUCUUAUACUUAAAAGAUUUUAAUAUCAAACAGCUAAAAUAUUUAUUAUGCGGGUUCUACUUACAGUUCCCAAACAGCUUGUGACUGAUGGUAUGCCAUUUUCUUCAAAUGUGCAGAUAAAAUAAAUAUAAAUCAGAACUCUUUGCAAAGAUUCCUGCUGAAGGUUUCACCCUGAAACGUCAGGUAGUUUCACUAUGUUAAGUGUUAACUUGAUUGAGAAGAUCUGAAAGAUUAUUUGCAAAGAAUCAAAUGAUUUUUUUUUUUCAGAAAUGUAUGAAUUCAUACAAAAAUGGAAGAGGUGAUAAAUGUUUUAAUCUCACAACUGAAAUGGAGGAAAAUUUAAAUGAGAUAGUUACCGAUUUCUAUAAAUUUAACUGCUGAAAGGACACUGAAUUUGUGUAUUGUUUGAAAUUGUACCAUUGUUUGUAAGGAGCAGAUUCUGACUUUGAACUUAAACAUGAUAUAAAUGUUCCAAAAUUUUCAUCAUAACUUUUUAGUGUAAAAACGUUAUUUUAAUAAUUCUGGUUGUUAAAGCAUGAUCAGCUGCUUUAAAUAUCAUUCUUUAAUCCAGUUUGGUUCAGUUCUUUAUGAGCUAGAAUAUAUCAAGGAUUUUUUUAAUGUCGCCUAUUACUAUUGGCUGUAUUUAUCCUGGUACAAGAUAAUUUUCCUGUGAAUGCAACAAUGAAUUAUACAAUACAUUGCAAUGUAGUAAUAUAAUGUUGAAAAUGAGUGGUAAUAUAUCUGUGUUCUGUUAAAAUUCAUCUAGGUUUUAAGACUGUUAUUGCAUUGUCAUCCAAAAGACUUAAGUGUAUUAGAUCAUGUAUUUUUACUUACUGUGCCAGGCUAUGCUUCAGUGUAUUUUAAGUAGCUUAGCAGCAGUAUAUAAAAACUGUUAUACUUUUAAAACUUUAUUAAUUUUAUUCGUGCAGUAUUGUAAUUUGUGUAAAUGUAUGGAAAAUGUUAUAAAAUGAAUUGCCAUUGAUUUGUCGCUAUAACUGCCUAUAUAUUUCCCGGUAUAAGGGAAUUCUGAUGUUAUUGUAGCAGUGCUUAAUAUAAUGUAUUGUAAUGUAAUAAUAUUAUGUUGAACAUAUGUUGUGAUGUAUUUGUGCUAUGUUAAGAAAGUACAUAGGUUUUAAGUCAGUGAUUGUACUGACGCGGGAUAGGUUUAAGUUUUGCGAGUGCUUUUAUGUAAUGAACCAAGUUAUGUUUUAGUGCAUUUUAAGUAGCUUAAUACCAGCAGAUAUGAAUCAUUACUGUACUUUAUAAAUUUUAUUAAUUGUAUAAGUGUAUGAAAACGAUUUUUAAACAUCCUUCUACUAUAACAAUAAGUAUCAUAUAUAUCCGGGUAUAAGACAAUCGUCGUUUCAUUGUAGCAGUGAUUAAUACAAUACGCAAUUGAUUCAUAUAAUUAAUUAAUAUAUUAUUAUUAAUAUUAUUAAUUAAUGUAGUAUUUAUUUAAAAAUGUGUUUUAACGUAAGCAUGCCAUUUAAAGUAUGUAUUUAGGUUUUAAAUCUGUUAUUGGAUUGCCUUGGAAUAGACUGAAGUAGUAUAUGAAUUCACACAUUUUUGAAAAAAAAUCAUUUGAAUCUUUGCAAAUAAUCCUUCAGAAGUUCUCAAUCAAGUUAACGAAUAGACGAAACUACUUUUUGAAACAUCUCUGUUUCUUGACCAUAAACGUCUAUAUUUUAUCCUCAUAUAGGCAUUUUCUUGUUACCGCAGCAGUGUUCAAUAUGACUUAAUACAUGAUAAUAUAACGCUGAAAAUCUGUUUUAACAUAUCUAUGCUAAAUUAAGAAUGCAUCUAUGGUUUUGAGUCUGUUAUUUCAUUGCCUUGAAAUUGACAGAAGUGUGUUCAGUUGUUUUUAUGUAACGUGCCAUAUUUUAACUAUCUCAAUACGUAUGAACUGUUCCUGUAUUUUAUAAAUUUUAUAAUUGUAUAUGUUCACUUUAUGCUUCAGGAUAGGUAAUAAUUGUUUAUUUUAUGUCAGUGUUUAUAUAAAUGGCAUGGAAUUUUAUAAUUUAGGUAUGUGUUUUAUGUAAUUCAUAAGUGGUGUAAAUAAAAUUCUUCUGUACCUUUA